ACCUUCCUUUCCUUGGGGUUGCGCUGCUGCCCAAUGAGCGUGCAGUGAGGGCAGUACUGCCGACACCGGAACGACACACUCGCAUCGGCUAGAGCUCUGCUUUACCUUGGUGCAAUUUUUGGAAAA
This is a small nuclear RNA of Phyllostomus discolor (pale spear-nosed bat), 126 nucleotides long. RefSeq annotates it as U4atac minor spliceosomal RNA. The transcript has a single exon. The record is from RefSeq and is a predicted model, not a curated record. NCBI's taxonomy places the organism in Eukaryota, Metazoa, Chordata, Mammalia, Chiroptera, Phyllostomidae.